RNAcentral lists this ribozyme (74 nucleotides) under Crocodylus porosus (Australian saltwater crocodile). RNAcentral describes it as "Mammalian CPEB3 ribozyme (ENSCPRG00005018758.1)". It matches the Rfam family "Mammalian CPEB3 ribozyme". Rfam says of the family: The mammalian CPEB3 ribozyme is a self cleaving RNA located in the second intron of the CPEB3 gene which belongs to a family of genes regulating messenger RNA polyadenylation. This ribozyme is highly conserved and found only in mammals. Lineage: Eukaryota; Metazoa; Chordata; Crocodylia; Crocodylidae. The record is from Rfam by way of RNAcentral.
UUGCAAGUUCAAGGCCAUAGCAGAAGUGCUCACGGUGCAGCCUGUCAGAUGCCAAUUAAUUUGUGAAUUCUGCU